Molecule: long non-coding RNA, 1927 nt
Organism: Mobula hypostoma (lesser devil ray)
Lineage: Eukaryota; Metazoa; Chordata; Chondrichthyes; Myliobatiformes; Myliobatidae
Exons: 3
Source: RefSeq, a predicted model, not a curated record
UCCAUAUUCUACAACUCAGCUACCUGCAGUUGCCAGUUAACCUACUAACCCCAACGCUUGGUAUGUCAGAGGAAACAGGAGCAUCUGGAGAAAACCCAAUGGUUCACAGGGAAAAGGUGCAAAGAUUCUGCAUACAGCUUUUUCUGUUCUUAUUCUGCAAGUACAUACCCGGGUUUCAUGAGACAGGAAAAGCAUCAUCCGAGAAGGAGCAGCAACUUUCGAAGCCGAGAGAUGUGCAGAAUUAGAAGAAAAGAGAAGAAAAUGGAUAGAGAGGCAGCAACAACCAAAGUCCGAUCUGCCAUCUGGAACUACCUGUCCUGAAUGCGGAAGAACUUUCAAAGCCAAGAUUGGACUCAUAAGCCACUUGAGGGCACAUAAGUAGAUCACAGAACGAAGACCAUCAUCCUCGACCUCGAGGGAUAGCCACAACGAUAUUUUCAAGCAGAGUGAAAAUACAUAAGAUAACAAUAAGAUUAUGUUUCGAAAUUUAAACUUAAUAUCGUUUGAGAAAACCAUUGGAAUGUAGUAGGAGGAUUGAUUUCCUUCCAGUUCAACAAAAUAGAUCUUCUAGCCAUUAAAGUAACAAAUGCUAUCAUCUGACAGGCUGAAGAAGACAAAGAUCUAUGUUCUACCACUGGCAAUCCAAAAAUUGCCGUAAUAUGAUGGGGUUUUAAAUCAAAACAUAGAUCUGUUGAAAUAAUAUCAAAAAUAUCUUUCCAAUAUUUUUCCAAAAGAGGACAGGACCAAAACAUAUGAGUUAAAGAAGCCACCUCAGAGUGACAUCUAUCACAAGUAGGGUUUAUAUGGGAAUAAAAACGAGCUAGUUUAUCUUUGGACAUAUGGGCUGUGUGUACUACUUUAAACUGUAUUAAUGUAUGUUCAGCACAUAUAGAAGAAGUGCUAACUAAUUGAAAAAUUUUAUCCCAUUUCUCUAUAGGUAGACAAAGUUGAAGUUCCCUUUCCCAUUCAUUUUUAAUUUUAUCAGAUAUACCUGGCUGUAAUUUCAUAAUUAUAUCAUAAAUAAUUGCUAUUAAUCCCUUCUGAAAAGGAUUUAAACCUAAAAUUUUAUCAAUAAUAUCAGUAGGAUUUGAAGUCGGAAAGGUAGGCAACGUAGUAUCUAAAAAAAUUCUUAUUUGUAAGUAUCUAAAAAAAUGGGAUCUAGGCAAAUCAAACUUCUUAGAUAACUGCUCAAAAGACAUAAAACAGUUAUCCAGAAAUAAGUCACGAAAACAUAUCAUACCUUUCGUUUUCCAUAUCAAAAAGGCUUGGUCCAUUACCGAGGGUUGAGAAAAGAAAUUAGAUAUAAUAGGAUUUGAUAACAUAAAUUCAUUCAGGCCAAAAAAUUUAUGAAAUUGAAACCAUAUUCGCAAUGCAUGUUUAACUAUAGGGUUAAAUGUUUGUUUAUUCAAUUUAGAUAGCACAAAAGGAAGUGAAAGUUCCUACAAUGGAAGCUAAAGAAAACCCCUGUACAGAGUGGCCUUCAAGGUUUACCCAAUAUGGGCUUGGAGUUGUAUUCCAAUCUUGCGUCCAAAAUAUUAAAUAUUGAAUAUUAAUUGCCCAAUAAUAAAAUCUUAGGUUAGGCAAUGCCAAACCACCCUCUUUCUUAGAUUUCUGUAAGUAUUUUUACUUAAUCUGGGAUUUUUAUUUUCCCAUAUAUAAGAGGAAAUUUUAGAAUCAAUAGUAUCAAAAAAUUAGAAGAAAAAAUAGUAGAAAAAAUUAGAAGUGAUAUUUUUGAUCCUUCGGUUAAAUUUGAAGAAACUUGGAAACCUUUUAUGCAACAUUUUCAUAUGAUGUAAUCUGACUUUUCCAAAUCUUUUCUCUAACUUAAAUUAUAUGAAUAGAGGAGCGGAGUUGACGACAUUACUGAACGUGUCUGAUUCAAGAUAUUGGUCUAGCCCUGUUUUGUUCUGUUUUUUUGGGGUUUCUU